CGCAAGCCUGACGGAGCAAGACCGCGUGCGGGAUGACGGCCUAAUGGUUGUAAACCGCUUUUCUCUGGGAAGAUGAUGACGGUACCAGAGGAAUCAGCCUCGGCUAACUCCGUGCCAGCAGCCGCGGUAAUACGGAGGAGGCAAGCGUUAUCCGGAAUUAUUGGGCGUAAAGCGUCCGUAGGUGGUUAUUCAAGUCUGCUGUCAAAGCGUGGGGCUUAACUCCAUAGAGGCAGUGGAAACUGGAUGACUUGAGUGCGGUAGGGGUCGAGGGAAUUCCCAGUGUAGCGGUGAAAUGCGUAGGUAUUGGGAAGAACACCAGUGGCGAAGGCGCUCUACUGGGCCGUAACUGACGCUGAGGGACGAAAGCUAGGGGAGCG
This 377-nucleotide ribosomal RNA is filed under the name uncultured cyanobacterium. RNAcentral describes it as "bacterial SSU rRNA". It matches the Rfam family "Bacterial small subunit ribosomal RNA", at positions 376 to 770 of the family's 1533-position model. Lineage: Bacteria; Bacillati; Cyanobacteriota. The record is from RNAcentral.